Molecule: long non-coding RNA, 723 nt
Organism: Canis lupus familiaris (dog)
Lineage: Eukaryota; Metazoa; Chordata; Mammalia; Carnivora; Canidae
Exons: 3
Source: RefSeq, a predicted model, not a curated record
UAAAGAGCAAAAACUUGGAAUCUAGAAUUUUCUAUGUGAAGGCGUAAUUAAAAUGUGAAGGCAUAAUAAAAUAUCCUCAGAUAUAUAAGACCUGGAAAGUUUUGCUACAAUAGAAUUUUUCUUCAAUUUUCAAUUCUUACACCAAAGGCCGACACAAGCCUGAAAUAGAGGGAUCUCUGAAAUAACAUUAUGACCUGAUAGAAGUUUUCAGAGGAGGAGCUAUACCAGAUCCAAGCAAUUACAUUGGAUUAUAUCAACCAACAGUUCUGGAAAUACAGACUGCUAGAAAGUCAACAACACAGCAGGUCAACCAAUCUGGUGGUAUUAUGAAGAACACAUUUAAUUGGGAUAAAAGGCAGAGACGAGUGACUGCAACAGUACUAGCAAGAGAUUAUGAAGUUCUGAAUGAAGAUGGUGGUAACAGAGAUGACACAUAGAAGACACAAUUUUAAGAAAUAUUUAGACCCAAGUCUAACAUGUACUAAUGCUAUUCACUCCUAGGUUCUAUGAUGUGUCCCACUUCUUUGUGCUUCUGUUUCUAACAGGAUCUUAGAGGGUUUAUUACUGUCAUAGUUUCUGUUGAAAUACCAACAGAUGACAGAAUGCUCAACCGAGGAAAGCCAUUCUCCCUUCUAUAUGCAGGUUGACAAAAGAAUGUAUUUAAGAUAUUUUUACAUGAUCCUUUGAGGCUUCAACCAGAUCAAGGAUAUUAAAAAAGAGAGA